CGUAAAGUUCAAAUGUUUCAUGUCUGAAAAGCUCUGUCAAACUCUUCACAGCCUGCCAGAAUCGGAGCUCCGUCACAGCUGCUGGCUUGGACCCAAUCUUAAAAUUCUAGCUUAAGUCAAAGUUUUGGAAACACCUCUGGAAGAGCCCAGGGUCCUGAAUCCACAUUUCUGUAUUUGAAAAAUAAAUACUCAAGACUCAAAGAAGAGAGAACAGACUUUCCCUAAGAUGACUGGAUGAUGGCAGUCAUCUGCAAAGCAUACUGGAUGGAAACAAGACUCCUUAGCAGUAUAAUUGCCAAGAAGGUAUGUUAAAUGAGCCUUGCACAGGGCUUAAACACAAGAGUUGAUUGAAAAAGUCAACCCUAGCAGCACCAACUAACAUGGGCUGAAAUCUACCUGGAACAUACAGAAGGGAAUUUUCAGUAGAUGGGCAAGCUGAGAAGAUCAAUUUCCAGACAACUGUUGAAUGAAUUCUCUGGUGAAGAGGAGUUAGAAAUUAGUAUUAGAAACCCUCAGGAUGCCUUCUAUAGAGUGUUGUAUGGAAUUAUGCCUCAGUUAAGUAUAUUAAAUUAUGUCUGAUCCUCAUUCCAGAGUGCAAUUCAAUCAUUUUCAGUUAAUCCUAUUGUCUCUAUGAAGUCUUAAAUUAAAGAGUUCCUCCAGAGAUUAUCAUAGACAGGGAGUUAUGCUAAGUGGACCUUAACUGACCAUCAAAGUCAAGAUUCAUAUGUGCUGACUGGUAAGCCCUGCCACUGACAAAAUAUUAGGCAGCCUUUUCUUAAAUGAGUGGCAACACCAUAAAACUUACCAGUAGAUCAGCAACAGCAAAUGCACAUGUUUAAGUAAAAAUAAAGAAGAAAACAAGAAAAAUAAAUUCAUUAUUUGUCACCGUAAUAUUUCCAGGAGAAAAAGAACACUAUUACUUAUUAUUAGCACUCAGGUUACAAGACUUGAGAGUUAUGUGACAAGAUCAUUUGGAGACAACUUUCCAAGUUAUCAAAAUAAAUUUCUC
This 1009-nucleotide long non-coding RNA is filed under the name Homo sapiens (human). Its description in RNAcentral is "HSALNT0232297". Lineage: Eukaryota; Metazoa; Chordata; Mammalia; Primates; Hominidae. The record is from RNAcentral.